Molecule: long non-coding RNA, 1368 nt
Organism: Prinia subflava (tawny-flanked prinia)
Lineage: Eukaryota; Metazoa; Chordata; Aves; Passeriformes; Cisticolidae
Exons: 3
Source: RefSeq, a predicted model, not a curated record
UGUAAUUUCAUGCAAGAAUGACUCACCUGAAUUCAGGUGCUCUGCAAUAGCUUUUGCAGCAUGCAAAUCACAGCCUUGGCAGGGCUGCCAGUGCAAGGCUCUGUUAAUGUGACAGCGGGGGCAGAUCUUGGGGCGUCUGGUCUCUUUCUGAUUCACGGUGAUACAAAUAAGCCCAGGGAAGGACUUGCUGAGAAUGACUAGAUAAUGCCUAGGUGGCAAGCUAGGAAGUGGCAUUUGGAAGAGGCAAGCUCAUUCAUUGGCAUGACCAUGACAAGUCUGCUUUUAGCGGAGUUACGAUAUUCUCCACAGAGAAGCUGCCUGGAUCGGCCCGGUUCAUCUCUGGCGAGGCCGUGUUGGAUUUCAUCCCGAUUUCCUGCUCGCUUCCCCUUAUCCACGGAGGUGUUUGCGGCCGCAGCCUGCCUCCCGGUGGCCAGCUGGGGCACGGCAGGAGUGCCCCGGCCGCGGGGACACCGGGUGACAGCGCACGGCCUAAGGGACGCGCUUCUGAGGGACUGCAAAACCCCGUCCUGCCCAAACCCGGGGCAGAUAAUGCCACAGGGAUGUCCGAAUGGCUGAAGUGGGCUAUUCAAGACUAUCAACUCCACCGCCAGACCCAAGGUGAGAGUGUCACACCAAUGAUCUGCUGUCACUUCUGGCUGCUGGGGCUAUGCAGUGGCACCCCAGGGCUGAGAUCCUCUACUACUAUAACCCCAGCUUCAACAGAGAGCAUCCCUGGCUGUUGGAAACAUGCAAGAGGAGAGUGUCCUCACAGGAAGAGGCCCAGAUGCAGAAGAGAUGAAGGAAAGGCCCUUUCGAAGCCCCGAUGGUCAACCCAAACUUCAUGGAGAGGCAGAUAUGGGCUUCACACAGGCCCCUGUUAGAGAGCAGUCAGUGUCCAGUCUGUAGUGUCUAACUAAUAGCGCUGUUCCUAGAUUGAGAUACAUAGAGUUGGAAGAAAUAGAUCUGAGUUGGUAUUAAACCACUGGAAGAAUAAACCUUUCUCAGUUGUCCUGUGCUCUUUGCACAACCCCAGGGCGAGUUCCUAUUUUGAACACCCACGGACCAAGCAGAAGCAACCGAUUUCCCACCAGCUAAACCACUUCUUGGAAGUGACCAGCCCGGCUUCUUGCCCUAGAGGGCACGGGCUUGCGGUGCUCCUCCGGCUGAGGUCCGGGGACCGCCUCCACCAGGCCCUGGAGCCCUUCAGCCCCAGAGCAGCACUGAGGCAAAGAGUGCGGUUGAUGGGCACUGAACGGGCUGCCAGUGAGCGGCCCCGAGCCUGCCAGGAUAACUGAUACAACAACGCCGGGAGGGGCUUUCCCAAAGUCCCGAGCCCCCUGACUCGGGCUGACUGGCUGUGGGGCCGGC